Molecule: non-coding RNA, 126 nt
Organism: Myotis davidii
Lineage: Eukaryota; Metazoa; Chordata; Mammalia; Chiroptera; Vespertilionidae
Source: Rfam
CAUGCACCAGUGGGGUCCCUCUGCCUGGCUUGUGGGAUUGGACCAAAACUGGCUCUCCGACAUCCCCCAAGAGGUCCCAGAUUGCGAGAGGGUACAGGCCAGGCUGAGGGACCCCACUGGUGCACG